AAUGAACGCUGGCGGCGCGCCUAAUACAUGCAAGUCGAGCGAGAAGACGUAGCAAUACGUUUGUAAAGCGGCGAACGGGUGAGGAAUACAUGGGUAACCUACCCUAGAGUGGGGAAUAACUAGCCGAAAGGUUAGCUAAUACCGCGUACGCCUCCUUGGACUUCGGUUCAGGGAGGAAAGCGAUGCCGAGGGUAUCGCGCUCUUGGAUGGGCUCAUGUCCUAUCAGCUUGUUGGGAGGUAACGGCUCACCAAGGCUUCGACGGGUAGCUGGUCUGAGAGGACGAUCAGCCACACUGGCACUGCGACACGGGCCAGACUCCUACGGGAGGCAGCAGUAAGGAAUAUUGCGCAAUGGGCGAAAAGCCUGACGCAGCGACGCCGCGUGGGGGAUGAAGGUCUUCGGAUUGUAAACCCCUUUCGGGAGGGAAGAUGGAAUGGGGUACCCAUUCGGACGGUACCUCCAGAAGCAGCCACGGCUAACUUCGUGCCAGCCGCCGCUGU
This 501-nucleotide ribosomal RNA is filed under the name uncultured bacterium. RNAcentral's name for it is "bacterial SSU rRNA". It matches the Rfam family "Bacterial small subunit ribosomal RNA", at positions 29 to 521 of the family's 1533-position model. The record is from RNAcentral.